RNAcentral lists this transfer RNA (75 nucleotides) under Lachnospiraceae bacterium. RNAcentral describes it as "tRNA-Pro". It matches the Rfam family "tRNA". Rfam says of the family: Transfer RNA (tRNA) molecules are approximately 80 nucleotides in length. Their secondary structure includes four short double-helical elements and three loops (D, anti-codon, and T loops). Further hydrogen bonds mediate the characteristic L-shaped molecular structure. tRNAs have two regions of fundamental functional importance: the anti-codon, which is responsible for specific mRNA codon recognition, and the 3' end, to which the tRNAs corresponding amino acid is attached (by aminoacyl-tRNA synthetases). tRNAs cope with the degeneracy of the genetic code in two manners: having more than one tRNA (with a specific anti-codon) for a particular amino acid; and 'wobble' base-pairing, i.e. permitting non-standard base-pairing at the 3rd anti-codon position. The record is from RNAcentral. Lineage: Bacteria; Bacillati; Bacillota; Clostridia; Lachnospirales; Lachnospiraceae.
CGGGGUGUGGCUCAGUUUGGCUAGAGCGCUUCCUUAGGGAGGAAGAGGCCGCAAGUUCAAAUCUUGUCACUCCGA